Molecule: non-coding RNA, 22 nt
Filed under: Arabidopsis thaliana (thale cress)
Lineage: Eukaryota; Viridiplantae; Streptophyta; Magnoliopsida; Brassicales; Brassicaceae
Source: RNAcentral
UGGUGAUUCGUAGUACCUGAAU